This 1012-nucleotide small RNA is filed under the name Arabidopsis thaliana (thale cress). Its description in RNAcentral is "ATSL206380". The record is from RNAcentral. Lineage: Eukaryota; Viridiplantae; Streptophyta; Magnoliopsida; Brassicales; Brassicaceae.
AUGUUAAUGGUGGAUUUGAAAACAUGUGUGGGUCGAACAUAAGAGUCGGAUUGAUUGAAAACAAGGCAUGGCUAACGUUUUUGAGUAGAAUUCGAUCAUAUCGCAGUUUAGAACUACUAACUUGGACAUUGAUUUCAUCUAAUUUAUCUGGUGCUUUGGCUUUGAGUCCCCGCUUUCAAACCUCACUUCCAGCUUAUUCUUAAUUGUUUGCUUGAGGGCAAGUAAAGACUAAGUUUAGGGGAGUUGAAAGUAUGCCUUUUACAUGUUUUGAGCAUCCAUUUGUCAUCACUUUACCAUCAUAUCACCACAGUUUUAUACCAUUUCUCAUACUUUGUCAUCACUUUGCAUGUUUAGGAUAGUUUUACAUGCAUGUUGCAUAUUUGUGUUGUUUUCAGUUGAUUUGGAGCUGUUGACGAGCUAAUUGGAAGAAGCGGACCUGAUCGUAUCAAACCACUCGACCCCCUGUCGAGUACAUGCUUCACGACUUCAACAAACCACUCGACCCCCUCGUCGAGUAGAAGGCCUCGUCACUUUGCACCACCACUCGACCACAUGGCCGAGUAUCAUCAACUCCACCACCUGACCAUCACUCGAUCACACCACUCGACCCCUUGGUCGAGUACCUCUAUCACAUUCACUCGAUCACUCACUCGAUUGCACGGCCGAGUCUCACCAUCAUCACACACUCGACCGACCACUCUACCACCUAGCCGAGUAUCACCAUCUCCAUCACUCGAAUUUAUACUCGACUGCCAGCUUUAGAGUCUUCUCCAUUCCGCACUCAACCAAACACUCGAGCACAAGGAAGAAAAGAAGACUCCAGCUCAUCACUCGACCAUUCACUCGACCACCUAGGUGAAGUGCCGUUCUUAAUCCAUCCCAAUAUUGUGUCGUUUUGAGUAUUAGGGUUUCGGAAUAUUUUGCUAUAAGUAGCAUGUAUUUUACAUUUUCGUAACCGAAGUUUUAUUCCGUAGACACUAUGUUCUUGACAUUUUGUAAUCCAGAUUUUUCU